UUGAGGUGAAUUUUAUAUAUAGGGAACCAAAAUUCCUUUUUCUCUUCGUAUAUUCAUUGCAUGUCUUAUAUUAAUUAGAUCUAUAGUAAUUUUUUUCUACAUGCUCAACGGACUUAUAUGGAGGAUCAAUUGGUGUAGUAACUGAUUACUAAAAGCAUCUACAUCAGAUUGUUUGAGCUCGGAUGCAAGAUUUUGGACGAAACGACGUUUGAUUUUGUACGAGCAUGAGCCGCAAGAAAGGUACAGACGCCGGUGAUCCACCACUGUAGGCUCCACGUCCUGCUAUUACAGAGUGCUCAUUUUGAUUCGGAGCCCAUAUAUCGGCAGAUAUCUUUUGGGAUGUGUAUGUAUCUGUAUAUUCGACUAUUUGGGGUACGGCGGGGCCCUGUCCCGUCAUAUGUUUUCGUUUUGUAUAUGUAGAGGCCUGUAGUCAUAUAUGUGGGUCGAGGGUCCUAUAUGUGUCUGUUUGAUUACGAUCUGUGUCUUAAUGCGGUCCGUCUGUUAUGGUGGCCAAAAUGGCCCUUAUGUUUAUAUUUGUACACAUGGUCGGCGAUGUGCAUUCCGCCGCUUCUAUCUGUUCCGUUAUGAUAU
Long non-coding RNA from Lycium barbarum (goji berry), 591 nucleotides. RefSeq lists it as uncharacterized. Lineage: Eukaryota; Viridiplantae; Streptophyta; Magnoliopsida; Solanales; Solanaceae. The transcript has 3 exons. The record is from RefSeq and is a predicted model, not a curated record.